This is a long non-coding RNA of Scophthalmus maximus (turbot), 964 nucleotides long. RefSeq lists it as uncharacterized. The record is from RefSeq and is a predicted model, not a curated record. The transcript is spliced from 4 exons. NCBI's taxonomy places the organism in Eukaryota, Metazoa, Chordata, Actinopteri, Pleuronectiformes, Scophthalmidae.
UCUGCCUGUAUGUCUGUCUGCCUGCCUGCCUGCCUGCCUGCCUGCCUGCCUGCCUGUCUGCUGUCUGUCUGCUGUCCGUCUGUCUGUCUGUCUGUCUGUCUGUCUGUCUGUCUUUUAGUACAGACACAGUAGUGUUUAGAAUAAAAGUCAGUAGAGACUGGCUGAGUGGAGGAGCAGGCAGUAGAGAAGAACUCAGUAGAACUCAGUAGAACUCAGUAGAAGUUCACCUACCUGACAGAGGACUUGUUUAUCUUGUGGUUGAUGGUCAGGUACGGUCUGUGGUGUUUGGUGAACGGGGGCCAUGCAACUGGAACUCUACUGUCGCCUCUACUGGGAUCACUGGACAGAGGAGAGAGGACAGAUGCAUGCUGGGAGUUUACCCAGUCUUGGCGAAGUUGGUCCAGUAUGCGAUCAUAUAGCCGGACAGGUCCCGGUGUCGGGGGAAGUAGACCAGCGGGGUGGAGAAGGGUUUACCGAACAGGUAUUGCAGAUCCUCAGCGUGCUCCGCCCCCACCCAGCGAGGGAAUCCUGGGAUACGUGUCUUCAUGUUGAACAGAGCAAGGCAGCUUCUGCCCUGGAGGAACUAUCUCCCUGCCCUCGACUCCCAACAAUUCAUUGGUACCCGGUGUCAACGAUGCCCCGUGAGGCGGAAGACGCCAGAUCGAUCUGCCGUUCCGCCGGCCGGUCCACCGUGUGACCGUGUCACCGUGUGACUGCUGACAUCAUGAAAUCACAGCGAACCGGAACACUGGCGUCUCUGCCCCAGCAGCAGCUCCACGUCGAGGGCCGCGGCCGACACCGGGUACGAUGAAUUUUGCAAAGCUUCAACAACAAACUGUGACGUUGGAUCAGACCGGACCUGGAGUUGUCUGCGUGCAGCUGGAGGGCGAUCUGUGUCGGGACCAGGAACAGGAAGUCGGUCUCGAUGUCGGCCACCGUCUUCUUCAGCACCGCCGGCUCCGGG